GACGAACGCUGGCGGCGUGCUUAACACAUGCAAGUCGAACGGAAAGGCCCUGCUUUUGUGUCGUUCUCGUGUGGCGAACGGGUGAGUAACACGCGUGUAACAUCCCCUUGUCUUUGGGAUAACUUUACGAAACUGCGGAUAAUAUCGGAUAUGAUCUCUUGCUGCACGGUGGUGGUUGGUAAGUUUCGGUGGUUGGGGAUGGACUCGAGGCUUAUGAGCUUGUUGGUGGGGUAGGUGCUGACCAAGGCUUUGACGGGUAGCCGGCCUGGGAGGGUUACCGGCCACAUUGGGACUGAGAUACGGACCAGAAUCCUACGGGAGGCAGCAGUGGGGAAUAUUGCACAAUGGGCGGAAGCCUGAUGCAGCAACGCCGCGUGCGUGAUGACGGCCUUCGGGUUGUAAACCGCUUUCGCCUGUGACGAAGCGUGAGUGACGGUAAUGGGUAAAGAAGCACCGGCUAACUACGUG
RNAcentral lists this ribosomal RNA (468 nucleotides) under uncultured bacterium. Its description in RNAcentral is "partial 16S ribosomal RNA". It matches the Rfam family "Bacterial small subunit ribosomal RNA", at positions 28 to 507 of the family's 1533-position model. The record is from RNAcentral.